CUGCUUUGAAUACUAUCAAUAUACCAUGGACAGAAACGACGUUGAAGCAGUUUGACUCGACUUCCCAAUGUUUGGAGAAAUACUACAGUCCACAAGAAAAGGUGAUGACACCAGCACACAGGGUAGAGGAAAACUCUGCGCUCGUGAUUGCGUACGAGGGCUAUUCAAAGUCGAUUAUAUACCAAGCACUACCUGCACAGGGACUACGGCAUUGGUAAUCUUGACAAUGUGACCUCUGAACAACUAUUCUUCCUUUAUUACGCUCUUAAUCACUGUACAAGCCGAAAUAGUCCCAAUGACACAAAACGGGUUAUCAUGCAUGACAGGGUGAACGUCCCUCUGAAGAAUUCAGUAUGAAUUCGCCAGUGCAUUUAGCUGCAAGAAGGGUGCACCGAUGAAUCCAUCGAACAAGUGCAGUUUUUGGGACUGACUGCGUGCGACGGACUUAUUUAUAAUAUGUUCCAGCGGAUUUAUGUUACCGCAGCAAUCGUAGACCUAAGUGAUUCCACUACGUUACGCAUAGCUUACAAUUUAUAUUCGUUUUUUGGAGUGAAAUGACGAGCAUAGGAAAAAGCAUUAGUGGUUCUGCCACAUGAUUAUGUGCUCUAUGUCCUAUCGACUAACAGCAAGAAAAAAUAUUCACGUUCACCUUUUACGCCAGAAUUCUUCAGCUGAAAAAACUGUGGCCAUCUUUUUGCAAACCUGUCUAUAUCCCAUUACUUCAAAGCGGCGGCUGAAACAGGAAAGUACAAGUUUAGUGCAUUUAGACAAAAUAAAAUACGAGCUAUUGCUUUCGAGCCAUUUGUACCACGAUUAAGCACACAUUCAGAAGAAUGAACACAGGAUCUG
Molecule: long non-coding RNA, 849 nt
Organism: Rhipicephalus microplus (southern cattle tick)
Lineage: Eukaryota; Metazoa; Arthropoda; Arachnida; Ixodida; Ixodidae
Source: RefSeq, a predicted model, not a curated record